GUUGUGACUGGAAAAUGAGCACGGACAUAUGGAAUCUGGGUAUUCUGAUAUGCUCUAUAUUUCUCGGUUCGGAUUUAACCCAUAACCAACACCAUGCCCGCUCUGGGAUAUUAUCCAAGGCAAAGAACUGUUCCGCCAGGUUUACGAUGCACAAGGCCAUUAUGAUGCUAAAGCGCAUCUGGCAGAAAUGACAGCCUUACUGGGUCCACCCCACCCAGAGCUGGUGGCAAGAUCCCACUCGAUGCUGAGGUAUUACAUGGCUGAAACUAUAAAAAGGGAGGAUGGCAAAGUGUGCGAAAACGCGGAGCAAUAUUUCGACGGCCCAUUUUUUGAUAGAUAGUAGGUAGUUCGAAAGGUUCCCGCAUAAAUUGCAGUGGAACUCUGGCCUAGCUCGUUGGUCAAAUGAAAUAAAAACUAAAUUACUCAAUUGAACAGGCAAAUUUUUUGCAUAACGAACUGGCAGAUUCGCUCCGGCGCCUGAAAAAGCACGAGUGCAACACCUUGGUAUACCAGAAACCAAUACCAAGACUCUUUUCGGACAUUACAUCCCUUGGAGCGUGUAAAGUGCCCUCCCCGACUCCUUCCCACUUCGCUUAUUGUUGGCUAUUUAUUAUAUUCUUAAACAUUAACCGAUUUUAUAUCUACAUGUGUAUGUCAAGGUCUGGCAACACCGAU
RNAcentral lists this small RNA (675 nucleotides) under Histoplasma capsulatum. Its description in RNAcentral is "hypothetical RNA". Lineage: Eukaryota; Fungi; Ascomycota; Eurotiomycetes; Onygenales; Ajellomycetaceae. The record is from RNAcentral. RNAcentral also lists the same sequence under 1 other name.